Molecule: ribosomal RNA, 256 nt
Filed under: Schmidingerella taraikaensis
Lineage: Eukaryota; Ciliophora; Spirotrichea; Tintinnida; Rhabdonellidae
Description: partial Bacterial small subunit ribosomal RNA
Rfam family: Bacterial small subunit ribosomal RNA
Source: RNAcentral
UGUCGUCAGCUCGUGUCGUGAGAUGUUGGGUUAAGUCCCGUAACGAGCGCAACCCUUGUCCUUAGUUGCCAGCACGUAAUGGUGGGAACUCUAAGGAGACUGCCGGUGACAAACCGGAGGAAGGUGGGGACGACGUCAAGUCAUCAUGGCCCUUACGCCUAGGGCUACACACGUGCUACAAUGGUAGGUACAGAGGGCAGCUACAUGGUGACAUGAUGCGAAUCUCGAAAGCCUAUCUCAGUUCGGAUUGGAGUCU